This 457-nucleotide ribosomal RNA is filed under the name uncultured bacterium. Its description in RNAcentral is "bacterial SSU rRNA". It matches the Rfam family "Bacterial small subunit ribosomal RNA", at positions 29 to 506 of the family's 1533-position model. The record is from RNAcentral.
GUGAACGCUGGCGGCGUGCCUAACACAUGCAAGUCGAACGAUGAUGGAGAGCUUGCUCUCCUGAUUAGUGGCGCACGGGUGAGUAAUGCAUAGAUAAUGUGCCCCUUAGUUCGGGAUAGCCACUGGAAACGGUGAUUAAUACCGGAUACUCCUUCUUGCCUCAAGGUAAGUCGGGAAAGUUUUUCGCUAAGGGAUCAGUCUAUGUUCCAUCAGGUAGUUGGUGAGGUAAUGGCUCACCAAGGCAAUGACGGGUAGCGGUUCUGAGAGGAUGAGCCGCCACACUGGUACUGAGACACGGACCAGACUCCUACGGGAGGCAGCAGUGAGGAAUAUUGCACAAUGGGGGAAACCCUGAUGCAGCAACGCCGCGUGGAGGAUGACGCAUUUCGGUGUGUAAACUCCUUCUAUAUGUCAAGAAAAUGACGGUAGCAUAUGAAUAAGCACCGGCUAACCCCGU